AACGAACGCUGGCGGCGUGGAUAAGACAUGCAAGUCGAGCGCGAUACUUCGGGUAGCAAUAUUCGGAGUGUUGAGCGGCGCAAGGGUGCGUAACACGUGGGUAAUCUGCCGUGAAGUUGGGGAUAACUCGCUGAAAGGCGAGCUAAUACCGAAUGUGAAAAUCGAGUGGCAUCAUUUGAUUUUUGAAGUUGGGGACCGUAAGGCCUGACGCUUCACGAUGAGCCCGCGGCCUAUCAGCUAGUUGGUGAGGUAACGGCUCACCAAGGCUAAGACGGGUAGCUGGUCUGAGAGGACGACCAGCCACACUGGAACUGAGACACGGUCCAGACACCUACGGGUGGCAGCAGUCGAGAAUUUUUCACAAUGGGGGAAACCCUGAUGGAGCGACGCCGCGUGGGGGAUGAAGGGCUUCGGCUCGUAAACCCCUGUCAGCCGCGAACAAUGCUUACGACCUAAUACGUCGUGAGUUGAUUGUAGUGGCAGAGGAAGGGACGGCUAACUCUGUGC
RNAcentral lists this ribosomal RNA (507 nucleotides) under uncultured bacterium. Its description in RNAcentral is "bacterial SSU rRNA". It matches the Rfam family "Bacterial small subunit ribosomal RNA", at positions 29 to 508 of the family's 1533-position model. The record is from RNAcentral.